CAAUAAUAUUGGCGUUAGAAAAUAUAAUUUUAUCAUGUAACCUUUAUAUAAUUUAACCCGAGGCAGUGCUUUAAUUUAACGUGGGGAAGUGAACACACAAAACUGUUAGAAGACUGUUGCUAGGCAACCGUGGACCCGACGCCUUAGCUAGGAGCUAGCUGGGCUAACGCCACAGCUAGGUAUUUUAUACGGCUCUUCCUGAGGUAAAGUGUGUGUAGUAGAGGAGGAGGAAGAACACUAAACUGUGCAGGACAGGGGGUUCUCCAGGACCAGGGCUGUGGAAGAGAAAACACCAGUUGAUGUGGAUACAUGAAUGCAUUCAUCCUUCGCCACUCCGAGAGCAUCUCUAUAGCAACGUCUGCCCAUGAUGGAGUGUCUGUUAUCUCACCAGCCAAUCAAAACGAGCGAUACACAUGUGCAGAGACAAACACACCCCGGUGGUUAUUAUUCCUCCCGGUCAAUGAGGUGUCAGAAUAUGGAAAUGGCACCGAAAGAUAUGUGUCCGGACCAGAAAAAUGUCAACAGAGGCCUGGACUGAAGAACAUAACUAGAUAUGCUCCGUGUUUUUCUGAGAGAGAAAGCAGAAAGCACUUUGCUGAUGCUGGAAUUGCUGUGCGGUCGAUUUUGACUUCCGUCUUAAGAAACGUCCCGUUGUUACGAGAGCCCUUCAAAGCCGCGGUGUCGACGCAGCGUGUGCUUCCGACCCGUGUUAGACCUCGGGAGGCUGUCGUCGUCGUCCGGGAUCCUCCCGAACACCCGGUUGAUCUGUGUGGAGAGGACCGAGCGAGUUGAAGCGACGCGCUCGCCGCUGAAGUUCGGAGGACGCUGGUUCCUGGAGCCGAGGCGUGAUUAGCACGUGAAUUUCAGCAGGAAAUGAACUGGGAAAGUAUUUGCUUCAAACUUCUAAUGAAAGUUGGUGGAUUUUUGCCAGUUUACAUUUUAUGCGAAACGCGUAAUUCUGUAGAAGCUGCGUAUGGAUUAUAGAUGAAUUUUGUAUGAAGAUGAUUGUGUGUUUGUGAGGAGGAUGUCGUGUGUGUGUGUGUGUGUGUGUGUGUGUGAGAGAGCGAGAGAGAGGCCUAAGGCCAGCUCUUGCAUUAGGCUCUGUCGUUAAUGGGAUAACAAGACACAAUGACAAAUCCCAGCAGUGGGCAAUAAGGUGCUGAUGGGCGUGUUUAAUAUCGCAAAGCCUGUAAGCAGGUGUGUACACGCCACUGGUGCAGCGUGUGUGUGUUUGUGUGUGUGUGUGUGUGUGUGUUAAUGGGUGUGUUUAAUAUCUCUUGUAACCAGGUUUGGACAUUUUGGACAUCACCACUGGGGCCCUAUAAGCUUCUGUGUGUGUGUGUGUGUGUGUGUGUGUGUGUGUGUGUGUGUGUGUGUGUGUGUUAUUGGCCAUGUUUAAUAUCCUCUAUAACCAGAUUUGGACAUCACCAGUGGGGCUGCCCAUAUCGGCAAGGCGACGGCCCCAUUUGAAGAAUCUAAUAUGGCGGCCACAUCCCCUCUCUCUCUCUCUCUCUCUCUCUCUCUCUCUCUCUCUCUCUCUCUCUCUGUCUGUCUCUCUCUCUCUCUCUCUCUCUCUCUCUCUCUCUCUCUCUCUCUCUCUCUCUCUCUCUCUCUGUCUCUCUCUCUCUCUCUCUCUCUCUCUCUCUCUCUCUCUCUCUCUCUCUCUGUCUGUCUCUCUCUCUCUCUCUCUCUCUCUCUCUCUCUGUCUGUCUCUCUCUCUCUCUCUCUCUCUCUCUCUCUCUCUCUCUGUCUGUCUCUCUCUCUCUCUCUCUCUCUCUCUCUCUCUCUCUGUCUGUCUCUCUCUCUCUCUCUCUCUCUCUCUCUCUCUCUCUCUCUCUCUCUCUGUCUCUCUCUCGCUCUCACUCUCGCACCCUCAGAGAAUAACUAUUCUUGCCAACCCACUGCCAAUCAAUUACCCACCAGUUCCGCUGCCCUGUGAUCAGUCACCUCGACAACCGACCCGGGCAGCUGCUCAACAUCCCAUAAUUCACCCUGAACGAGCUCCUGCCCCGGUGGUGCUGUUUAAUUGGCCAACCUGAGGAAUGAAGACACGAAGGAGAGAGAGAGCGAGAGAGAGCGGGUGUGUGUGGUUUGGUGAGGGGGUUGGUGGGAUGAUGGCAGAAAUGGAGGGAUGAUGGGACGAGUGAUGUCAUUGACCUAUCAGGAUUGAGCUGUUGCCCUUUUCCCAGGCGCGCGACGUUCCCUGCGUUUUCCCUCACGCCCGUCAGAGCUGCCGGAUUCAGGAAAAUUCAUGGCUCGACCCCUCAACCUGGAAGCAGAUUAAGUGUCGGGCCUUUUCCCCCGUGCGAGAGACGGCAGGCAGUCGCCGUGGGAGACGGGGCCGUAACCGUGGAGGACGGGGCGUUUAUGAUGAUGUGAUUGAAAGGGCAUGAAGGCGGCGGGAGAUUUAUCACCCUGUUCAAACACGGGCGGAAAAGAGCACUAACAUUUUACACCUGAGGGCACAGAGAGAACACGCGCACCAACGUGUGUGUGUAAGUGUAGUGUAUAAUGGAGGCUCAAUGAAAGGAGGCGUGGCCUCUCUGCCUGUCAAUCAUAGUGAAGUGGGUGUGGCCUCUCUAGCUGCAAGUCCUAGUGAAGGAAGGAGGCGUAGCUUCUGUAGCUGUCAGUCCUAGUGAAGGGGGACGGAGGCGUGGCCUCUGUAGCUGUCAGUCCUAGUGAAGUGGAAGGAGGCGUGGCCUCUGUAGCUGUCAGUCACAGUGAAAGAGGCUUGGCCAUGUAAGUAAAAUUCAUCGUUACUGGUUAUGAUUUUUUUUGUUUUUUCCUGAUUCUCAUAAUAAGAAAAAAAGAGGUUUAAAUGAGAAGUUUGGAAGGAGUGAGAACGCAGGAUGAAGGUCGUAGUGGUUACGGCGUGAUGAAGAGCUGAAUGAUGAGGAGGAUGAUGAGCAAGAAGUUGGUUGCGGAAGAUGAAGGAGUGAAAGCAGGAGAAAAAGCAGAGUGAAGAUGAGUGUAUCUGUACUGUAUGUGGGUGUAAUUUGGUGCAAGAAUGCCUUGAGGAUUGCGUAUGACUGUGUGUGUGUGUGUGUGUGUGUGUGUGUGUGAGAGAGAGAGAGAGAGAGAGAGAGAAAGGGAGGGAGAGAGAGAGAGAUAGAUACAGUAAAUUAAUUUACAUUCCGAAGGUUUUCUUCACAGCAACCAUUUCUUCCUGCUAUUUCACGAUGAUCAAAGACGCGUAUUCUGUCUGAUGUCCCACGCUGCCGCAGUGUGUGUGUGU
This is a long non-coding RNA of Ictalurus punctatus (channel catfish), 3235 nucleotides long. RefSeq lists it as uncharacterized. The transcript is spliced from 5 exons. The record is from RefSeq and is a predicted model, not a curated record. Lineage: Eukaryota; Metazoa; Chordata; Actinopteri; Siluriformes; Ictaluridae.